GGACUACAGGGGUUUCUAAUCCUGUUUGCUCCCCACGCCUUCGCGCCUCAGCGUCAGAUUUGAACCAGAUAGACGCCUUCGCCACUGGUGUUCCUCCUAAUAUUUACGAAUUUCACCUCUACACUAGGAAUUCCUCUAUCCUCUUUCAAUCUCUAGAUUAGCAGUUUUAAAAGCAAUUCCAAGGUUGAGCCUUGGGAUUUCACUUUUAACUUACUAAUCCGCCUACGCGCCCUUUACGCCCAAUAAUUCCGAAUAACGCUAGCCCUCUCCGUAUUACCGCGGCUGCUGGCAC
RNAcentral lists this ribosomal RNA (292 nucleotides) under uncultured bacterium. RNAcentral's name for it is "partial 16S ribosomal RNA". The record is from RNAcentral.